RNAcentral lists this ribosomal RNA (2760 nucleotides) under Paralia sulcata. Its description in RNAcentral is "large subunit ribosomal RNA". It matches the Rfam family "Bacterial large subunit ribosomal RNA". Lineage: Eukaryota; Bacillariophyta; Melosirophyceae; Paraliales; Paraliaceae. The record is from RNAcentral.
AUUAAAGCAUUAAGGGAAUGCCUUAACAUCAUAAAUAAUUGGACGUUAUAUAAACGAAAUUUUAUAACGAGUAUUUAAAAUAUGCUGAGAGUUGUAAAAAUCCAAAAAAAAAAAUUAUCUUUGUUUUUAAUUAAGAUUUUAUUAUUUUAAAUAAUAAUUUUAUAACAAUAGUGAACUGAAUCAUCUUAGUAACUAAAACAAAAAUCAAUCGAGGUAUCGUAAGUAGUGGCGAGCGAAAACGAUUUAAUAGACUAAUUUAAAAACGUAUAAAAUAAAUUAUUAAAUUUCUAAAAAAGCCAAAGAAGGAAAAAUACAUAUAUUUAGCCCUGUAUAAUAAUUUAUUUGUUUUUUAAAAUAAGUAAAAUAAUACAUGUCGUGUAUUAUUCGAAUAAUGGGGGACCACCCUCAAAGUCUAAAUAAAAUUUAUGGUGAUUGAUAGUGAAUAAGUACCGUGAGGGAAUGGUGAAAUAGAAUUUAUGAAAUUUAAAAGAACCUGAAACUUAAUGCUAACAAUCAGUUGAAGCUUAUAAAAGUAACAGCGUACCUUUUGCAUAAUGGAUCAACAAGUUUAUUUUAGUGGCGAGCUUAAAUUUAUAAAUGUAGGCAUAAAUAAAUUAAGUUUUAAAUUGCUUUAUAGUCUCUAUAAUAAAACCCGAAACUAAGUGAUCUAACCAUGAACAGGUUGAAUUUAUAGCGGUAACGCUUAUUGGAGGACCGAACCCAUGUCUGUGGAAAAAUACUGGGAUGAUUUGUGGUUAGGGGUGAAAGGCCAAUCAAACUUAGAGAUAGCUGGUUUUCUGCGAAAUCUAUUUUAGUAGAGCGUUUAAAAACUUUAUUUUGGGGUAAAGCACUCGAUAAAUAAUGGGAACGUAAAGUUUUACUGCAUUUAAUGAAACUCAGAAUACAAAAUAAAAGAUUUUAGACAGACAGACUAUGAAUGCGAAGAUUCAUAGUCUAGAGGAAAACAGUCCAGACUAUUUGUUAAGGUCCCAAAGAAUAAUUAAGUGAAAAAGAUAGUAAUAAAAUUUUAACGAUCGGUAAGUAGGCUUGGAAGCAGCCAUCUUUUAAAGAAAGCGUAACAGCUCACUGGUUUAGUUUUUUUGCAUCUAAAAUGUAUAAGGGCUAAAAUUAUUCACCGAAACAAUAGAUUUAUAUAAAAUUAAUUAUAUAAAUGGUAGCAGAACGUUCUGUAAAUUAAAGAAAAUUCAUGAUAACAUGAAUUGGAGAUAUCAGAAGUGAGAAUGUUGAUAUGAGUAACGAUAAACAAUGUGAAAAACAUUGUCGCCUUAAGUUCAAGGUUUUCAAGAAAAGGUUAAUCCUACUUGGUAGUUUUUAUAACUAUAAUUAAUCGGUCCCUAAGAAAGAAAUGAAAAUUUUAUUUUGAUGGGUAAACAAACAAAAAUUUUUGUUUUAAAAUUAAAGUGACAAAGUACAAAUAUUAUUUAUAUUUAAUGGUUAAAAUAUAAGUUUUAUAAUACUUUCAAGAAACAGCUUUAAAAAUAUUAUGAAACCGUACCGUAAACCGACACAGGUGAGCAAAUUUAGUAAAUUAAGGCGAUUGAGUUAAUUAUAUUGAAGGAACUCGGCAAAAUGACUCCGUAACUUCGGAAUAAGGAGUAGUUGAUUUUGGGAAACCAUAAUUAACUGGCACAAAAUCGAGGACAGCGACUGUUUAUUAAAAACAUAGGUCUCUGCAAAUUCGUAAGAAGAAGUAUAGAGACUGACGCCUGCCCGGUGCUGCAAGACUAAUGUUAAAAGUUUUGGCUUUGAACAAAAAUCCCAGUAAACGGCGGCUGUAACUCUGACGGUCCUAAGGUAGCGAAAUUCCUUGGCAUUUAAUUGGUGUCCCGCAUGAAUGGCGUAACGACUGUCCUACUGUCUCCAAUAUAAUCUCAGUGAAAUUGAAAUCUCCGUGAAGAUGCGGAGUACUUACGGCUAGACGGAAAGACCCCGUGCACCUUUACUACAGCUUUGCAUUGUAAUAAAAAAUUUUGUAUGUAGGAUAUGUGGGAAGUUGUUAAAAUAUUUUUACGCCAGUAAAUUAUAAAAACGUUAGUGAAAUACCACUUUUUAUAUUUUUUAUUACUCAUUUCUCAAACAUUGUAUAGUGGGUAGUUUGACUGGGGCGGUCGCCUCCUAAAGAGUAACGGAGGCGUAUUAAGGUAAAUUCAAAUCAAAAAAAUUGAUUUUAGAGCAUAAUAGUAUAUGUUUGCCUGACUGUAAGAUUGACAAAUCAAGCAGGGACGAAAGUCGGUUAUAGUGAUCCGGUGAUUCUGUGUGGAAAAGAUCAUCGCUCAACGAAUAAAAGGUACGCCGGGGAUAACAGGCUAAUCAUUCUCUAGAGACCCUAUCGACGGAAUGGUUUGGCACCUCGAUGUUGGAUUAUCGUGUCCUGGAACUGUAGAUGGUUCCAAGGGUUUGGCUGUUCGCCAAGUAAUACGGUACAUGAUCUGAGUUUAGAACGUCGUGAGACAGUUUGGUCCCUAUCUACCGUAAGCGAAAGAAAACUAAAAGAAUUAAACCUUAGUACGAGAGGACCGGGAAAAGUGAAUCCAUGAUGUAUCGGUUGUUAUACCAAUAGCAUAGCCGAGUAGUUAUAUUCGUAAUAAAUAAUUGCUGAAAGCAUUUAAGCAAGAAGUUAAUCUUAAGAUCAGUUUUCUUUAAAAGACGUAAUAGAACAUUACGUGAUAGGCUUAAUGUUUACAAAUUGUAAAAUUUAGCUUAUAAGUACUAAAUACUUUUACGAUUUUUAAUUUUUAA